AUGUGCAUGACAGGAGACGGUGGCUGGCACCGCCGGGGUACGGUGAUGAACGCAGCCCCGUGCGCACAGCUCCACGCGCACCCGCCGCGUCCUCCCGCACCGCGCCGCCCGGCUCGGCCACGACUAGCCAGCUCGCCGGCUGCGGCCAGCCACCUCCAGAUCCUCCCGGCGCGCUUCCCAUCCUCCUCCUCUAUCCUGCUCAACGCCGCGCUCGCCGCCGGCUGCGGAUGGAGCCGCGCGCGCGGCCCGGCUCGGCCACGUCCAGCCAGCUCGCCGGCUGCGGCCAUGGCUGCGCCGCCACCUCACGCCGGGUCCUACACCAUCAGCCGACGGCGACCCUGCACGACCCCCUGGAUGAGCAGCUCGAGCUCCGUGAUGGAGAUGGCGAUAACGGUGCACAAAAGGUGUUUGUAA
RNAcentral lists this ribosomal RNA (414 nucleotides) under Triticum aestivum (bread wheat). RNAcentral describes it as "partial small subunit ribosomal RNA". The record is from RNAcentral. Lineage: Eukaryota; Viridiplantae; Streptophyta; Magnoliopsida; Poales; Poaceae.